Molecule: ribosomal RNA, 118 nt
Filed under: Periophthalmus magnuspinnatus
Lineage: Eukaryota; Metazoa; Chordata; Actinopteri; Gobiiformes; Gobiidae
Source: RNAcentral
UCUUGAGGCCAUACAAGCUUGUCAAAGCCUGAUCUUGUCAGAUCUCAGAGGCUAAGCAAGGCCAGGCCUGGUGAGUACUUGGAUAGGAGACCACCUGGAAUACCAGGUGCCACAGUGG